GGGGCUAUAGCUCAGCCUGGGAGAGCGCUUGAAUGGCAUUCAAGAGGUCAGGAGUUCGAUCCUCCUUAGCUCCA
Molecule: transfer RNA, 74 nt
Filed under: Ignavibacteriaceae bacterium
Lineage: Bacteria; Pseudomonadati; Ignavibacteriota; Ignavibacteria; Ignavibacteriales; Ignavibacteriaceae
Description: tRNA-Ala
Rfam family: tRNA
About the family: Transfer RNA (tRNA) molecules are approximately 80 nucleotides in length. Their secondary structure includes four short double-helical elements and three loops (D, anti-codon, and T loops). Further hydrogen bonds mediate the characteristic L-shaped molecular structure. tRNAs have two regions of fundamental functional importance: the anti-codon, which is responsible for specific mRNA codon recognition, and the 3' end, to which the tRNAs corresponding amino acid is attached (by aminoacyl-tRNA synthetases). tRNAs cope with the degeneracy of the genetic code in two manners: having more than one tRNA (with a specific anti-codon) for a particular amino acid; and 'wobble' base-pairing, i.e. permitting non-standard base-pairing at the 3rd anti-codon position.
Source: RNAcentral